This 75-nucleotide transfer RNA is filed under the name Chlamydia abortus. Its description in RNAcentral is "tRNA-Gly(gcc)". It matches the Rfam family "tRNA". From Rfam's summary of the family: Transfer RNA (tRNA) molecules are approximately 80 nucleotides in length. Lineage: Bacteria; Pseudomonadati; Chlamydiota; Chlamydiia; Chlamydiales; Chlamydiaceae. The record is from RNAcentral. RNAcentral also lists the same sequence under 3 other names.
GCGGACGUGGCUCAGUGGUAGAGCAUCGCCUUGCCAAGGCGAGGGUCGCGGGUUCGAAUCCCGUCGUCCGCUCCA